Molecule: ribosomal RNA, 1309 nt
Filed under: metagenome
Description: bacterial LSU rRNA
Rfam family: Bacterial large subunit ribosomal RNA
Source: RNAcentral
CCUGAACCGUACCCCAAACCGACACAGGUGGUUGGGUAGAGAAUACCAAGGCGCUUGAGAGAACUCGGGUGAAGGAACUAGGCAAAAUGGCACCGUAACUUCGGGAGAAGGUGCGCCGGUGAGGGUGAAGCAUUUACUGCGUAAGCCCACGCCGGUCGAAGAUACCAGGCCGCUGCGACUGUUUAUUAAAAACACAGCACUCUGCAAACACGAAAGUGGACGUAUAGGGUGUGACGCCUGCCCGGUGCCGGAAGGUUAAUUGAUGGGGUUAGCUAACGCGAAGCUCUUGAUCGAAGCCCCGGUAAACGGCGGCCGUAACUAUAACGGUCCUAAGGUAGCGAAAUUCCUUGUCGGGUAAGUUCCGACCUGCACGAAUGGCGUAACGAUGGCGGCGCUGUCUCCACCCGAGACUCAGUGAAAUUGAAAUCGCUGUGAAGAUGCAGUGUAUCCGCGGCUAGACGGAAAGACCCCGUGAACCUUUACUAUAGCUUUGCACUGGACUUUGAAUUUGCUUGUGUAGGAUAGGUGGGAGGCUUUGAAGCGUGGACGCCAGUCUGCGUGGAGCCAACCUUGAAAUACCACCCUGGCAACUUUGAGGUUCUAACUCAGGUCCGUUAUCCGGAUCGAGGACAGUGUAUGGUGGGUAGUUUGACUGGGGCGGUCUCCUCCUAAAGAGUAACGGAGGAGUACGAAGGUGCGCUCAGACCGGUCGGAAAUCGGUCGUAGAGUAUAAAGGCAAAAGCGCGCUUGACUGCGAGACAGACACGUCGAGCAGGUACGAAAGUAGGUCUUAGUGAUCCGGUGGUUCUGUAUGGAAGGGCCAUCGCUCAACGGAUAAAAGGUACUCCGGGGAUAACAGGCUGAUACCGCCCAAGAGUUCAUAUCGACGGCGGUGUUUGGCACCUCGAUGUCGGCUCAUCACAUCCUGGGGCUGAAGCCGGUCCCAAGGGUAUGGCUGUUCGCCAUUUAAAGUGGUACGCGAGCUGGGUUUAGAACGUCGUGAGACAGUUCGGUCCCUAUCUGCCGUGGACGUUUGAGAUUUGAGAGGGGCUGCUCCUAGUACGAGAGGACCGGAGUGGACGAACCUCUGGUGUUCCGGUUGUCACGCCAGUGGCAUUGCCGGGUAGCUAUGUUCGGAAUAGAUAACCGCUGAAAGCAUCUAAGCGGGAAACUAGCCUCAAGAUGAGAUCUCACUGGAACCUUGAGUUCCCUGAAGGGCCGUCGAAGACUACGACGUUGAUAGGUGGGGUGUGUAAGCGCUGUGAGGCGUUGAGCUAACCCAUACUAAUUGCCCGUGAGGCUUGACCGA